This is a long non-coding RNA of Gasterosteus aculeatus aculeatus (three-spined stickleback), 7484 nucleotides long. NCBI's taxonomy places the organism in Eukaryota, Metazoa, Chordata, Actinopteri, Perciformes, Gasterosteidae. The record is from Ensembl.
GCGGAGGGGGAGAGGAGCACUGUGAGGGGAGGGGGAGAGGAGCACUGUGAGGGGAGGUGGAGGGGGAGAGGAGCACUGUGAGGGGAGGUGGAGGGGGAGAGGAGCACCGUGAGGGGAGGUGAGGGGGAGAGGAGCACUGUGAGGGAGGUUGAGGGGGAGAGGAGCACUGUGAGGGGAGGUGCAGGGGGAGAGGAGCACUGUGAGGGAGGUUGAGGGGGAGAGGAGCACUGUGAGGGGAGGUGCAGGGGGAGAGGAGCACUGUGAGGGGAGGUGAGGGGGAGAGGAGCACUGUGAGAGGAGGGGGAGAGGAGCACUGUGAGGGGAGGCGGAGGGGGAGAGGAGCACUGUGAGGGGAGGUGGAGGGAGUGAUGGAGCACCGUGAGGGGAGGUGGAGGGAGUGAUGGAGCACUGUGAGGGGAGGUGGAGGGAGUGAUGGAGCACUGUGAGGGGAGGCGGAGGGGGAGAGGAGCACUGUGAGGGAGGCGGAGGGAGUGAUGGAGCACUGUGAGGGAGGUGGAGGGAGUGAUGGAGCAGCAGCACCAUCUCAGCGUUGUACAGUGCUGUUAUCUCAUUGCGUCCAUAUGAAUGAAGCACAAAGGAUUCUGCAUCUAAAGGAGAUUCACAGUCGACCGUCGUUCUUUAACAGACACGUUGUUGUUGACGCAGACAGAAGCAAACAAAAGACCUCGUAUGUUAAAGCAUAAAAUGCUGAAUUCAAGAACCAUCCAUUGAAUGUUCUCAUUUACUGGACUGGACUGUUUUACAUGUUUUGCUCUUAAAAAGAGAAAAAAGCUGCCAAGUUUAGUCUACAUGUAUUAAUUGGUAUCAAUUGCUGUCAUUGGGUCUGUUUUUAGGUCUGUGCUCACAUCCGAUGGUGCAUUAAUCAUAAUGGAGCCACAGAUAAAGCUUGGUUAAUGUUUAUCCAUCUAUAAACUGACAACAGGUAUAGAACAUAGAAGUGAAAUAUGAGCAUAUGAGGACAUUUGACAAUUCUUAAAACUAUCUUGUGAUAAUCAAACUGGAGGCCUGAGCAAAUAAUCCAAACCAAACCAUGUAGUAUUGCAUUGAACUCUGUAUCCUGGGGAGUUCAGAAGGAGAGGAGAGGCAGUAGCGUAGGGCUGAAGGAUUCAUGGGGCCCAGAGCUGGACUGGGCCCCCGACUCAUGCUGGGAGUUAUUAACCUUUGAGAUGUCAAACCCCUUUGUCCCGUGUUCAGUUUCUGAGACCUUCUGUCAGCUGCUUAGUUGACACGUGUGGCGGGUUUGGUGAGGGAAAGAGGAACUGUACUGUAGGAUAAAGCACCAUGGCAAUGGAGCGCGGGGGAGGGCGGGGGGGGGGGGGUUUGGAGUAGGCGGAUUUGUUGGUGAUCCGGUUCAUACACGGUCAAAGUUUAAUCACAACGCUCCUGUUCAGCGGAGUGCGUCACGAGCUCAGACCGUGAAAUGGAGGCGGCAUGACAGAGUUAUUUAACCACACCAGUCACCAAAACCAAAUCCACAGCUUAGCAGGGUGGUGCUAGAACCACUACGUGGACAUAAAUCCCAGCAACUGUCACUUUGUAACAGAGUGAAAGGAUGUCACGACAAGAGGUGGCCACCUCGCCCUGAACCAAACUACUACUACUAUUACUACUACUACCGCACUGGAACAGGCAGUACAUUUAAACACAAUGCCAGCAUACGUAUAAAGAAUAUUACCGAACAGAACACCUGACUCACAGUCACUGAAUUGAAAGACUGUAUCGCUCGGUAUUUCGCUCAGGUACUUUGGAAUCACUCCCCGGCAGUUACACAAAACUGUGGAGACUGUUCCAGGUUCCACCUUGUCACAUGAAGAACACGGGGACAUAACAGGAUUGAUAUUUAAUGCUUGGCAUGAGCACUAAUGAACACGCACAUGCGUGUUGCAUAAUAAAUACACCUGAAGUGGGCGCAAAAGGGUUAAUACACGAGGCCCUGCGCCUUCCAACGGACGCUUUCUGACGCAGCUUUUGACGGAUUCGUGCAUCUUUUUUAAGCCAGUACCAUCGCUGCACCUUACCUGGGAGAACCCAAUGCAACAGUAACGAUGGGUUCCCACAAAGCGACAACAGGGUAGACAAACAGCUACACCAAAGCACCUGAGGGCCCAGCAGAGCAAAACGUGACUUGUCCCGCAUCACUAACAUCCCUCAAACUCGACUUGAUCGUUUCCAGUUCGAUUCUUAUCAUUUCAGUAGUAACUAGUAGAUGUUAACAUGGGAACAUUACUCACCCUAGCUUCACCAAAGGUGUCCACAUCAGACCCAGCAGAAUGCAGUGAAGUAGUUACUGCAGAACACACUAUCGUCACCCCACAUCCAUGCUCGCUCCAGCAAACAAUGUCUAAGAUCAAACAAAAAGCUCCUCAGUCCAUCAAUGACUCCUCAAGAUUAACUGUAACAACAAAAACGAUCUUAGCUUCCCAAAUGCACAAAAAAGUUGUUCCUGCCAUGUGAGCAAUAAUCAAUAAUAGGAAUGGAAGCCAAAACAACAAAAUAUGUUUUUUUGUUGUAACCAUUCAAUCCUGUCGACGUUGAAUAGAGACCGCUGUGUGGUGUUCUGACCUUCAGGUUGCACCGUACCUCAAAGUUGGAUUUUAUUUUUACUAAAGAUGACAUGAACCUCACCAUUGUGAUACAAAGUGGCACCUCGCGGGGAGGACCUACAGACAUGCUUUGUGUUGGUCGACUGUGGAAGUCUGCGGCUGGGUCGGGUAAAUAGGUCGGAGGUACGAUAGAGUUGGCCUCCGUCCACAAUGACCCACAGAGAGAUGAGACUCUUUCAUUCCACUGACAAAAGUGUCGCGGCUCUUUUUAUUCCAGCAUGAAAUCUGAUCGCUGGGGAAAAGAAGUCCCCAAACAUUGGGCUGCUCUGUGAUAGGGUCAUACAGUCAGAGGACGUUUUAGUGCCGUCGUCCAUUUGUGUCAAUGACCAGGCAGGUUUUUCAAGGGACAGCUUACGGUUUGAUCUCAUUAGGAUGUCAAAAGCAUCACAGAAUAUUUAUAUGGAAAAGUCUUUCAUAUAAAUACUCUUUUCACACGUCCAUCGUUCUGUAUGUCUCCGCUAAGAAGGAGGAGGAUGGAGGACGUCCACGUUGGUCCAGUAAGAGGACUUUUCUUGCCAUGGUGACGCACCCAUAUCACCUUUCAAAUGGCACAAAGCUGGAGCGAUUAACCUGGCUUAAUUAGAAAUACAAUAACCUGCCGAUGACAAAAGUGCGAGGCGUCUUUCAGCGGCGGUCGGGACCAGUGACGAUGGAGAGGAGUACAGGGAUUGACUCCGGGGGUCCGCUCAUCAACUCCCCCCGCAGAAGCAAAUGUUGGUGCAAGAAACAGCCCGAGGAGAAGAGGAGCGACAGUAACAUCACAUAACGAAUGUUAUACUUUCAACCAAUACUAAAACUGCAUCGUUAACAUUUCCGGAUGCGCACAAACUGCUAUGAAAGUCAAUGGUACCCACGAGGGCGAUUCGCGUCUACAGAGAACCAAAGGAAGCAGAAAAAGUGGAGCAGGCGGUGCCACGUGCGUCUCUCCCGGGUGGAGGACUUCCACCGACUGCACCGGUCAUUUUCUGCCCCGGGAUCCUGUAGCAUCUCAACCAGCGGCCCUUUGGACCCCCCCCCCACCGCCCCUGCUUCCAGGCUAAAUGUGCGCCUCAGAGAAGGGUGCAAACCCCGCUCUUUUCCAGCGGAUACUUCAGCAGCGCGGGCUGGUGUGGAGAGGGAGAAGAAGGUGGACGUACCAGGUGGCACUACACUUGAAAACCUCAUUAUGUUUUUCAGUGACACAAUGCGGGAGACGAGGUGGUGGAGCGGAGGACAAAGGAAAAGCUUCUACCUCACUUCCCUUCACCUUGCGCGCUGUGGCCUGGGAGAAAAAAAACACGAAUAAGCAGAGAAAUUUAUUGCAUUGCAAAAAAAAAGAGAAACGUGUGUGGAAAUCAGAAGAAAUAAAAGCAGGACGACUGCAGGCAGAAACAAACGCUUCCGUCUUACACGCUGAUUAGCAUGUUGCCUUUUGUGACUUCUGCACUUGUGUGCACUCCACAGAGGGCAGGGGGGGGGGGGGGGGGGCUCAAGCAUUCAGACAACUUCAACUCUUAGUUUAACACUUGGUUUUUUGAGAUCCCCCCCCUCCCCUCGGCGGCGCCCCCCCAGAAUCCCCUGCACCCGAGUGACAGACAAUGCUCAUUUAAAACACAAAAGCACAUAGACUCUCAUUCAGACUACAGCUGCCCUCUUUCAGACCGGUAUUCUAAAGCCACUUUCUGUUGUCCCCUGCUCAGGUUUUUCCCCUACGGAGGGAAAUAAAGCUGGGCCCCGCAUUUUGGUGUGAGGGGAGAGAGAAGGGCUCGCCUGUGUGGAAUAAAGAGAAGCCAAGAAGAAAAAGGGCUCUCCACCGGAGAGGACACCUUAGAGGUGCACCUUUUUCCUUUCUCGCUUUGUCCGGGGCAGUUGGCUGGAAAGAUGGUGGGGAGAAGGUAGGAGGGGACAACAUCAUGCAAGUGGGCGACUAAUGUGUGUAUGAAGGAUUCUUUGAUAACGCCGGAGCAUCUGUUGAUCCCCAAUGAGCUUUUUACGCCCUCUUUUUCUCCCCCGAAAAGUCCCAAAUUUGGCACCUCGCAGGUGAGCGCCUGGCGUGCUCCCCGGCCCGGCCCGGCCCGGCCCGGCCCGGCCCGCUGGCUGGGCGCGAGGGGCUGUUUGCGGUUGAAAGGUAAGCCCAGCUGACUUUUGGAAGGUGUGGGGGGGACGAGGGGUCAUUGCAUUGGAGGGGUAAUGUUUGCGUUUGCUUUUGCUGCUGUGAGACCCUGCAGGUGGAGCAGGUGGGGCGGGCGGAGCAGGUGCAGGUGGAUGUGCGCUCGUGGUUUUGCUCGCCGCGGUUUGUCACGUUGGGAUUAAACAAAUUCAGUUUGCUUUCUUCUUGCAAAAAGAAGAUUAUUAGAAGAUUAUAUAUAUUUAUAUACAUAAAUAUAUACAUACAAGCCUUGGUGAUUGGUUGAUUUCUUUAUUCGUGCUCAGAUGUUUGGAAAAAAUGGACAUUGCUCAAAAGAAAAAGGUUGACUUUAAUGAGAUAAAAAAAAACAUGCCUAUGGUGUGCAAAAGCUUUAUGCAUCUGCAAAAAAACAGAGGAAAAACGUACAUCUUUAUAGCUCUAUAUUUAUAAACAAUUUUCAAGCAUCAUCUAAAAAUAUUGCAAUAAUAUUUUGGCAAAUUGUUUUAUUUUAGUUUUAUUGUUUUGCGGAAAUCGAUUUUGUGACAUUUUGAAUUUCUAUUCAUAAUUAAGAGUAAAAGAAAUAUGAAAUGUAGAUGUAGAUACUAUUUGUGUUAAAAUAAUGUGUUUAAUCCAGCAAACUUAUAUAAAUUACACAUAUAAAGUGCGGAUCGUAGUGAGUGAUUUAAGGCUUCUUAAAGGCCUUCAGUAACACGGAAACACUUAAAAAAAUUAAAAGAAUACAAAUUCAGGAAUCAACCUUAAAAUGAAUAAAACUAUAUUGUCUUCAUGAACAGGAAACAUGAUUACAAACAUCAUGUGUGUGUUUGUGGUGGGAGCAGCACACGCGUGUGCGUCCCCGUGUCCUGUUCUCCGUGUUGCUUUGAGGGAACAAAGUCCACACGUUUCACACGGAUUGUUUGCUCCUAAACAAAUUCAUUACCGUGUCUUUGCCUAAAUCAGAUGGGAUGAAGAAUAUUUGAUUCAUGAUUGCAUCCAAAACUAAUCUAUAAAAUUUAGUUAGUUCCAUCUUUAUUUAAAUGGUUUCCCCCAAAAUGGUGCAGAUUUUCAACCAAUCAGAACCCGGGUAGAGGUAGAAGUUAUAAUUAUGAAACAACACCAGCACAGACAGGCUCCACUCUUACCUUUCACAAUAAAAGCAUGUUGUGUUUUGCAUUCAUCCAUCCAUUUAUUCCUGUGUGUUCAGGCCCCAAGCAUCCGAAGUCAGGCAAAGAGAGUUUAUUUUACUAUAAGACGUGCUUGAAUAAAUCAAUAAUAUCAAUAAUAAGUGUGAUAUUAACGUGAUAUCAAUAGUAAGGGUCUUGUCAUUAGAAGCACAUUGCGACGCCCUUCAAGCUGUCUGACGAGUCGCGUUGUAUUUUUUAUUACCCCUGUAAAGAGGUUAAGGGUAACUAGCAAAUUAGAUUAUAUCAGCGGUCAAUAUUGUUUAUGUGUCCAUUACAUUUCACACAACAAACAACAAAUAGUGAGCCCCGCCUUGUUUUUCCCCUCAGUCACGAACCAAACCAGAUACAAACAACAUGAGUCACCAACAUUAAGCAGCUCCGGGGGGGGGGGGCAACAUGUGGCUGUCACCUGUCAAUAAUCUCCCGCCGGCCACAAAGUCCAGUAUCCGCGUUCAGUGGGGAACACUAUCGGACUGAUAGCACCAAUGAGUGACAGACGAUCAGCUGCAGCCAACGUUACCCAGACCCGGGGGGGGGGGGGGUAACAACGCCUGGCUGCUUUUAAAGAGGAAGAGGAGGCUUUGGCGCAGAGGGGAGGGGUCCGUUUGUUUUAUGGUGGCGUGAGACACAUUCUCUUAUUGUGUGUGUGCACUAUAUCAGAACACAGGAUUUGGGUUCCCUUGCGAACUAUCUUGUCCACAUUCAAACCUCUCGUGGCUUUGCGAGGCCUGAGAUCCUGUUUCCCAGCGGAGCCACCUGACCAUGAAAAGAGUGCAUGUGUCACGUUGCCGAGGAGCCGGCAGCUGCUCCUCACAGCCGGCGAAGAAACACACCGACGACGCGCAGCCACGAGUGGCUUUGACGACGACGUGCCAGAAAAUAACGGCAACAAUCGAUGUGGAGGUUUCCGGUCAGCGGUUGGUAACGGCUGAGACCUUUCGGAGUUCAGAGGGAUCCCACGGUGACCUGGUUCAUUGUCAUCACUGAAUGUGACUGUUUCCACCAGGAAGGAGGAUAAGACCUGGGACUUGUGGGCAAAAGACGGGCGUCUUUUGUCCUUUCCCGGUUACCUUAUGACGACUCGUGAAGCGGAGCGAGUCGGUGACCCAAACACCGCCGACAGAGGCUGGAAUCUCCCCGUGUUUCUUUUCUUGGAUUAGGACCGUGGCCUCCAUGAUUAAUAUUAUGUUACAAACAAAAGCAGGUCAUCUUCUUUUAUGUAGGAAGUUCUUCUUAGGGAGGCGGGAUAUUGUUACAGAGCGUUGCUUUGAACUUGACGGCAUUCUACCGUUUUUUUAUCUGGGUAACAGGUUGCUCCGGGUAACAGCGGGGUUGCAGUUGGCCAAACAAGUGCAAAAACAGAUCUAAUUGAAGCACAGCAACAUGUCAUCUCAUGUGUUCAUUCAUAUCAUUCAAUAAAUACUUUAGUCCAUAAGACGACGGUUUGUAUCCCGUUAAAACAAAAGAAGUCACUUUUUACCUGGUCUGAAUUAUUCAUCAGCAAAGUCAACGUCCUCCGCGCUCUUUUCCUCAGCAAGCAAACUUCCGGUUAAGAUUAUUUUAAAAAAU